GAAAAGUAAUAAAGAAAAUAUUAUAUAUAGGAUAAUAAUCCAAUAAUUUUUUCUAAUAAAUAUAUAAUUAUCUUUUAUUUUGACUCAAGAACUUGAGAUUACAAUCAGCAAGUUUUCUUAUUCAGGAAAUCAACAUUCAGUUGCUUAUUAGUUAAUUCAAUCACCACAAUCCACAAAUUGAUAGUUCACAAUAAGGUGGCCUUGAGCAUAGCCUUUUCCAUCGGUGUCUAUCUGCCGGAAAACACCUUCGUCCAAGUCCAACCCUCCAUUGCUGCACUGAUCAACAAUUCUCACCGUCACUGUAGCUCCUGUUCCAGUAUUGGUCACACUUAAGCACUUGCCGCAAGCAGCUUGUCCUUGAGGUCCGGCUGGUCCACAGAAGGCCGUCCAUCCAUACUUCUUGCGCCAUUCGAGAGGCUUGCUUGCAUCCCAUGUUGCGCAGUAAACACUUGCAGCAUUCAAGUCCCAUCCUUUUUGUUCAGGAUUGUAGAAAUUAUAGGUUGCUCUCACAUUGGAAGCACUUUGGGAAUUGGCUUUAGCUAUGAGAAAGACUAAGAAAGCCAUGCACAAGGUUACACUUAUCUUCCCCAUGGUUUAUCUGGUUUUGUUUUUGUC
RNAcentral lists this unclassified non-coding RNA (615 nucleotides) under Hevea brasiliensis (rubber tree). Lineage: Eukaryota; Viridiplantae; Streptophyta; Magnoliopsida; Malpighiales; Euphorbiaceae. The record is from RNAcentral.